This 253-nucleotide ribosomal RNA is filed under the name uncultured bacterium. RNAcentral describes it as "partial 16S ribosomal RNA". It matches the Rfam family "Bacterial small subunit ribosomal RNA", at positions 524 to 776 of the family's 1533-position model. The record is from RNAcentral.
UACAGAGGGGGCAAGCGUUGUUCGGAAUUACUGGGCGUAAAGGGCUCGUAGGCGGUUUGUUGCGUCGGCUGUGAAAUCCCGAGGCUCAACCUCGGGUCUGCAGUCGAUACGAGCAAACUAGAGUGUUGCAGGGGAGACUGGAAUUCCUGGUGUGGCGGUGAAAUGCGCAGAUAUCAGGAGGAACACCGGUGGCGAAGGCGGGUCUCUGGGCAACAACUGACGCUGAGGAGCGGAAGCGUGGGGAGCGAACAGG